GAUGAAGAACGCAGCGAAAUGCGAUAAGUAGUGUGAAUUGCAGAAUUCAGUGAAUCAUCGAAUCUUUGAACGCACAUUGCGCCUCCUGGCAUUCCGGGAGGCAUGCCUGUUCGAGCGUCAUCAAACCCCAUCGUGCAAAUGAAUUAUUUUUUUUGCGCGGAAGUGACGAUUGAGCGAGAAUAACAAAUCCUCUCGCACCUCGUCGAAAUGAUUGCGGGCGGAAUUUGGGAUCGGGUUCCUCGGCGUAGUGUAUCAAUGCAUAUUUAUGCAACUUGCCGCGGAGUUGAGCCUGACCCACGCGUUCUCGCCGUACAAACACCUCAUUACUUUACAAGUUUUUGACCUCGGAUCAGGUAGGGAUACCCGCUGAACUUAAGCAUAUCAUAAGCGGAGGA
RNAcentral lists this unclassified non-coding RNA (395 nucleotides) under soil metagenome. Its description in RNAcentral is "partial contains 5.8S ribosomal RNA, internal transcribed spacer 2, and large subunit ribosomal RNA". The stretch from base 1 to 120 matches the Rfam family "5.8S ribosomal RNA", at positions 35 to 154 of the family's 154-position model. The record is from RNAcentral.